AGUGAACGCUGGCGGUAGGCCUAACACAUGCAAGUCGAACGGCAGCACAGUAAGAGCUUGCUCUUACGGGUGGCGAGUGGCGGACGGGUGAGGAAUACAUCGGAGUCUACUUUUUCGUGGGGGAUAACGUAGGGAAACUUACGCUAAUACCGCAUACGACCUACGGGUGAAAGCAGGGGAUCUUCGGACCUUGCGCGAUUGAAUGAGCCGAUGUCGGAUUAGCUAGUUGGCGGGGUAAAGGCCCACCAAGGCGACGAUCCGUAGCUGGUCUGAGAGGAUGAUCAGCCACACUGGAACUGAGACACGGUCCAGACCCCUACGGGAGGCAGCAGUGGGGAAUAUUGGACAAUGGGCGCAAGCCUGAUCCAGCCAUACCGCGUGGGUGAAGAAGGCCUUCGGGUUGUAAAGCCCUUUUGUUGGGAAAGAAAAGCAGCAGGUUAAUACCCCGCUGUUCUGACGGUACCCAAAGAAUAAGCACCGGCUAACUUCGU
RNAcentral lists this ribosomal RNA (491 nucleotides) under uncultured bacterium. RNAcentral's name for it is "partial 16S ribosomal RNA". It matches the Rfam family "Bacterial small subunit ribosomal RNA", at positions 29 to 506 of the family's 1533-position model. The record is from RNAcentral.